AGCUCAGCAGGCUGCCUCGAGCUCACGGUGAUCCUCCCGCCUCAGCCUCCAAACUGCUGGGAGUACAGGUGCGCGCCACUAUGCUGGGCUAAGGCAGUGAUUCUUCUUACAUGAUCAUACCUUCUUGCACCCCAUCUGACCCCCACACGGAGUCUGUCCCAGCCCAGCUCCCAGCCUGGGCCCUCCCACGAGGCCCACCGCACCACCUGUCCCACUGGCAACGCCCUCAAGGAAAGGUAGGGCAAGUGCGAAGCCUGCGCUCUGGCCUGGCCUUCCACCUUCAUCUACUUCCGGAUCCUCAAGCACUCAGCAGUGUCUCCUACUGGGAGGCCCCGCCCUGCGGAGCCCUGGGAACUCCAGGCCCCUGGAUAAGCAGCAUGCCAGGCGACUCGGUGCCCUGGGCCCCCUUCUCCAACUGGCCCAGCAGGAGGCCCUAGGCCCAGGUCACUUUCAGACCUUCGCUCUGCCCGUCCUCUUCAGCUGGACCCCUCAGAACCCAACUAGUUACUGCAUUUCUCCUAGAGCCGGCCCCGCCCCCAAGCACGCGUCCAGGUCCUUCCUCCAGGAAGCGUCUCCGACCAACCACUCUGGCCCACACUGCCUUCGAACUCUCCUCUUGCUCAGCUGGUCUCGGUCCCAGUAGCAAGACGACUUCCUCUGGGCAGCCACCCCUGACCUGCCAGCAUGCUCCUGCCAAAUGUCCCCAUGGGCCCAGUCCUGAUGGCACGGUAGUCAGCGGACUUCCUCCCUGGCACAGCUUUCCUGGGCCUAUGUGCCCGGGAACCAGCUCCUGAGCACUCGAGCAGGACCGGCAAGGUCCAGGCCUCCGGGAACGUUUGGGCUCUGUGGGGCGACACACCCGCACCUAAGACGCCACGGAUGCACGAUGUAGGAAGACCUCUUCGAGUUCAAGAUCAGCCUGAACUGCACAGUGAGACCCUGUCUCAAAAAGUGGGGGCGCUUCAGGGAGACCCCAAAGAUGAGUCCUGGUUAGCUGGUGGUGGGACAGGAGGAACGGGACCUGGGAAGGAGACUGCAGGCUGGGAGCGGGUGUCGGGGGAUACUGGGGCCGUGGGCCCAGGUCCAGGAAUGCUGGCUAAGGGCAAAGGGAGCCCCGGGCACCCUGGCGCUUGACCACUUCAGCAAAUGCCUGUGGCCGGGGCAACAAAGGACUUGCAGAGGUGGAGCCCGCCGGCUGGCCACGGCUGUGUCCGUAGCUGAGGGUGCAUGACUGGAUGGAGAAAGCUGCCAGUCUGAGCCGGGAACCCAGGAAGCCGCUAUGCCCCGCUCCGGUCCCCGGGAGGAGGAGACCAGCACGUCAGUUCCCAAAGCCCCCAAGUGACAAACUGGGCAGAGGGUACCAUCUGCUGCCUUCCCUACGGCAGUGCCAAGCAGAUGCCUGGGGCUGGGGCGCGAUGGGGGAGGAAGGAGCCAUCCACAUCUUGGCACCGAGGCUGAGAGGCCUGGAGGCUGGAACACCCUGCCGCUUGUGCCCGUGCAGCUGCAGGCCUCGCUCCGGCCAUCUGGAGUUCUAGGAACUGGGGGCGGGGGACCCUGAUUUCCACAGGACACCAAAUGGGGAGAAUCCUUUUCCUGCAGGUCCCCUCUGCCUGGAUCCCUGCACACCCGGGCAUCCCGGGGAAGGGGGCCGUGGGAGAGGACAGAGAAGCCGCCGCCUCUGUGUUGGCGUCUCUGGACUGUGCUGAGCUUUCCUUCGUACAGUCUCUUAUUUUAGCAAUAAAACAACCAGUCCUGGCACCCUGCACUCCCAGUGAAUUAAUCGUUUGCAUAACCAUUUGCACACGGCCCCUCCCCCAGCCUGAGAGCUGGGAGCCGGGACUGUGUGGCUGGACCCACGCAUCCUGGUCCCCGGUGUGGUCCCGGUGUGCACUGGCAUGUGGCAUCUAGCAGAACACAGGUUUGCUGCUGUGGGAAUGAUCAGCGCUGGCAGUCAGAGGUUGAGACUGCUAGCCCACUUGCUUUGACCUCCACAGCGAUGGAGAGGGAUCCAAACCUCAGGCCAGGCCAAGCUUCUUACCAGCCAGGUGCUUCUGGUCCACCCAUCCCGUGAGAAAGGGAGCGGAUAGAGAGAAGAGGGCCAGAGAAGGGACCCCUCCCUCAGUACCCGGACACCCAGCAGACAGGAGGCUGAGGGAGCCAGGCCUGGGCCUUGAGGCAGUGCCCACCCUGUGAAAUACUAACCCUCGAGGUGGGGGACCAGACAAAUUCCCUAUUUAUAGGCGCUGGCGCCUUCCCGGGACGGAGCAGAUCACAGCCCACACUGGGCCGGGCCCCGGGGCAACGCCAGGGUUCUUGGGGCAUGGAAGGUAAGGCUCUGAGACCGCCCACCUGCAGCAUCUGCAGAGACCAAUGGGCAGGAUGGGUUAAAGGCAGAAGGUGCCGAAAUGGAACAAGGGAGAAAUGCAGAGCUCCAUGAGGGGGCUGCUGGUGCCACCUCUCUUGAUAAACAACAAAUAUGAAAAAGAGUGAGACAGAGAGAACAGGCAAGGCUUUGGGGGUGCCGCGUAGGCCAGGAAUCAGCUUGGGUCCUAAUCCUGCAACCAAACUUAUUAAUGCUCGUAUGCUGAGUGCCAAGUCUAUGCUAAGAAUUCUGCUCAGUCCUUGAUACGCAUUCAUUCAUCUCAUUCUCAGGCUCCAUCAGACGCGGGAGUUCUUGGGGUUUUUUGUUUGUUUUUGAGACAGGCUCUCGCUUAUGUAGCCCAGACUGGCCUUGAACUCGUACCAGUCCUUCUGCCUCAGCCUCCCGAGCACUGGGAUCACAGCAUGACCACGCCUGGCCAGGAGUUCUUGGAAUCUACAGCGUAGGGAGGUCUGCCGCGGACCAGGUGUGAGCGAGUUCAGAUCCGGGUACUGCUCCAUUCCAGGUUCCACCAGACUCCGCGUUUGGAGCUUUCCAGGCACAAUCUCAGAGACGCCACAGAGAGCCUCCAGGGCACACGAGACGGUUCUGUUUCCAGAGGAAGAGGCUAUGGGUCGAAGUUGAGCACAGACUUGCCCAAGGGGCGCCGAGGUGCCUGACUCCACGCCUCAGCUCCACCUUCUGUACCUAAGCCUCCACUGCGUCCGCACAACUCCGCGUCCUUGGAGCCGGGCGCAGGGGACCUGGUAUGGCGGGGGAGGAUCCCACGGGCAGCUGUCAUUUAAUUCUGUCACAGGAUGGGAAGCUUCCAGAGGGAAAGAACUCUGUGUGACCCAUGAGCUGCCCUGAGAGUGAGGUGUGACAGGUUAGCUGUGGCACAGAAGCCGGAGCUCCACGAGGUCCCCAGGCAGGGUUUUCCAACCUUGUAUUUUCCGGGUCUUCCUGGUGGGGCUGCUGAGCAGGCCAUCUGAGAAUGGCAGCAGGGUGGUAAAGAAUUUCUAAGAAGAGGAGUGUCCGAAGCAUGUGCCUGUGGGGACAAUUCUGGUUGCUAAACCACCAGGUAUGACCUUGGCCUCUGAACACGUGGCCCAUCAGGGGUCUGUGAACUCAGCUCAGGGACCAAGAACAGCUGAGGUACAGAAGCCAAGCAAAAAACCUCAGGUAAGAGCAGCCCCCUUCCUAAGGGCUUCCUGAAUGCAAGAGGCUGAGGCAGGAGGAUUACUUUGAGUCUGAGGCCAGCCUGAGGUGCACAGAGAGUUCCAGGCCAGCCUGCAUGGUGGGCUGGCUUUUCAUUUCCUUUUCCUCUUUCAUGUGCCCAAGUCCAGGCCCUCAGGCAUGCUAGGUAAGUAAGUGCUCUAGCACAGAGACACAUCCUCAGGCCCUGGAGCUUUCAUGUUCAAACCCUUUGGCCCAGCUGCCCCACUAGCCAGGUGACGAGGGAGAUCCAGGGUGCAGCGCCUCAGCCACCACCAGGCGCUUCUGGUAUCCAUAGCCUCCACCUCUGGAUGGCCACAAGGGAGCACCAGUCUCACAGCUGGGCUCAACAUCCACUGCCCUUCCCCACCUGUCGCCAAGCUGUGUUAUUUUGCCUAUUUUAGAUGACGGAAGGGGGAUGUGCUGCGUCUUUUUCAAAAUUCCCCACUGCUUUCCAGGGCUGUGAAAAAACCCAGGAGCAAGCCCCACCCUCCCUGUAAGAGAUGCAACUGGAGGCGUCGGGAAGUGUCUAUCGUGCCUCCCCCAACGUUCUCCCAAAUCCUACUAUGCUUGGGGAGGCAGCCAGAGCUGGUGCUAAAGCAGAGGCUCUGUGACACACGGGGAGAGGGCUCCUCACUGCCACGCUAUUGUCACCACCGCACCCGCUGUAACUGAGCACACGCUACCCGCCAAGCACGACGCUAAGCCCUUCCGCGGAUGCUCCCGUUUCACUCAACAACCCUGUCUUACAAAUGAGAAGACCAAGGCAGGAGCAAAGGCGUCUGGCCCGCGUUGUCACACCCACGGGGUAGAGCUAGCUGACUCGAUAUUCCCACACUGCUCUAUGGCUGUCUUUGGUAGGGAUGGGAGGGUGGGGGUUGUAUUUAUUUCAUCAAUGGUUGUUACAAAGAUGGGAAAAGGGCACUUAGGACGAGAAGCCGGAACACAAUGGCCAUUUGUCAUCUAAAACAAAUCUGUAUUUUCUCCAGCCACCAGACACUCCAACAAGCAAAUUCUGAAAGGGUGGCCUUUACCCACCCCUGACCAUAUCCCUGCCCCUGACCUGCUUCUCUCUGUUAUCUGCUUCCAACUCUUCUGACUUCCUUGCCAACCAUUCCUCACCUUCUUCACCAUGCUCCAGCCCUGUGUUCUCUUGCUGAGUUUGAAAACCACUAAGCACACAACCCCAGGACCUUUGCACCUGCCAAUAAAUGCGCUGCCACCACCUUGCUGCACAGCUGGCACUUGUCUGCCACACAUCACCCUCUCCAUCCGCCUUCCGUAAAAAGGUGACCUCUGUCUCCAGCUCUCCCCCGCAGACCUUCAUGUUUUAUUUCUCCAUGACGGUUACUUCCACCCUACACCCUGCAUGUUUUAGUAUUUGCCAAAUGAAGUGAAGUGGAGGGGCAAUCUUCCCUGACAGCCACCUACUGCUCUAAGCAUGACCUCCUGCGUGCUCUUUCAAAGCCGUCUCCCCUGUCCCCAUGCUUCCUCUAACCAGCCUGCACACCGUGCGGGGAACCAGCACAUGAGAGGCUCUUCCCCUGCUUCGGUUCAUCCCCCGCCCUUAAAACCCAAUUCGCUCAGAGGCACAGGUAAGGACGGGCCGGCCCGGACAGCUCCAGUCAAACGCAGCCAAAUCAAGUUCCACCCUACCAAGGGUUACAGUUUCACUUCCAACUCACCUAUCGGGCUCCCCAGCCUUCAGGGUGCAACCCCACCCCCGCCUUUGCCACCGGCUGGCUGUCCCUGCACCUUGCCAUCCCUUUGGGGAGCCCCUCACAUCUCGAGCUCUCCCUGAGCUGCCGGGCUCUGGGGAACUUCAGCUCAUCCAACAGGCUCUUGCUAAAGUGCCCAGGUUGGGCUUGAACUUGAGAUCUUCCUGCUGUGAUGACAGGCAUGCGGUCCCUGGCUCCACCACCAUCCUUUCCUCUCUGGAUUUCGGCCGCAGUCUCCUAACAAAUGUCUCCCCAUCCGUCCACAGUCCCACCGCCCCACAGUGACUUUUCCAAAGCACAGAUCUGAUCAGGGCACCCCUCCCCUUAACAAAGAUGACAGGGACUGAUCUGUCCCUAGGUCCCUCUCCAGCCUCUGCCUUCCCUGCCGCUCCUUACCUCCUCCUUUCUUUCUCCAAUCCAGAUGAAUGGCAAAUGGUUUUUACAAUUUAAA
Long non-coding RNA from Chinchilla lanigera (long-tailed chinchilla), 5743 nucleotides. RefSeq lists it as uncharacterized. The transcript is spliced from 2 exons. NCBI's taxonomy places the organism in Eukaryota, Metazoa, Chordata, Mammalia, Rodentia, Chinchillidae. The record is from RefSeq and is a predicted model, not a curated record.